Molecule: ribosomal RNA, 389 nt
Filed under: uncultured bacterium
Lineage: Bacteria
Description: bacterial SSU rRNA
Rfam family: Bacterial small subunit ribosomal RNA
Source: RNAcentral
GACGAACGCUGGCGGCGUGCUCGACACAUGCAAGUCGAGCGGUAAGGCCCUUUCGGGGGUACGACGAGCGGCGAACGGGUGAGUAACACGUGGGUGACCUGCCCUCAGCUCUGGGAUAAGCCUGGGAAACCGGGUCUAAUACCGGAUAUGACUCCAUGACGCAUGUUGUGGGGUGGAAAGCCUUGUGCGGCUGAGGAUGGGCCCGCGGCCUAUCAGCUUGUUGGUGGGGCGAUGGCCUACCAAGGCGACGACGGGUAGCCGGCCUGAGAGGGCGACCGGCCACACUGGGACUGAGACACGGCCCAGACUCCUACGGGAGGCAGCAGUGGGGAAUCUUGCGCAAUGGGCGAAAGCCUGACGCAGCGACGCCGCGUGAGGGAUGACGGCCU